Molecule: ribosomal RNA, 253 nt
Filed under: uncultured bacterium
Lineage: Bacteria
Description: partial 16S ribosomal RNA
Rfam family: Bacterial small subunit ribosomal RNA
Source: RNAcentral
UACAGAGGUGGCAAGCGUUGUUCGGAAUUACUGGGCGUAAAGGGUGCGUAGGUGGUGGGGUAAGUCGGAUGUGAAAGCUCGGAGCUCAACUCCGAAAUGGCAUUGGAAACUACCCUGCUAGAGGAUUGGAGGGGGGACUGGAAUACUUGGUGUAGCAGUGAAAUGCGUAGAUAUCAAGUGGAACACCAGUGGCGAAGGCGAGUCCCUGGACAAUACCUGACACUGAGGAGCGAAAGCGUGGGGAGCGAACAGG